RNAcentral lists this unclassified non-coding RNA (431 nucleotides) under soil metagenome. Its description in RNAcentral is "partial contains 5.8S ribosomal RNA, internal transcribed spacer 2, and large subunit ribosomal RNA". The stretch from base 1 to 120 matches the Rfam family "5.8S ribosomal RNA", at positions 35 to 154 of the family's 154-position model. The record is from RNAcentral.
GAUGAAGAACGUAGCGAAAUGCGAUACGUAAUGUGAAUUGCAGAAUUCAGUGAAUCAUCGAAUCUUUGAACGCAUAUUGCGCUCUCUGGUAUUCCGGAGAGCAUGCUUGUUUGAGUAUCAGUAAACACCUCAACUUCCAUAUCUUUUUUUGAAAUGGGAGUUGGACUUGAGUGAUCCCAACGCUUUUCCUCACCGAAAAGUGGCGGGUUACUUGAAAUGCAGGUGCAGCUGGACUUUUCUCUGAGCUAUAAGCAUAUCUAUUUAGUCUGCCUAAAAAACAGAUUAUUACCUUUGCUGCAGCUAACAUAAAGGAGAUUAGUUCUUGUGCUGACUGAUGCAGGAUUCACAAAGACAGCUUCGGCCGACUUUGUAAACUCGAUCUCAAAUCAAGUAAGACUACCCGCUGAACUUAAGCAUAUCAUAGCGGAGGA